UGCAAGUCGAACGGAAGUCGUUAUAAAAAGGACUGAAGAUUUAUCUGAUUGAGAUUUUAUAACAAUGGCUUUAGUGGCGGACUGGUGAGUAACGCGUGAGCAACCUGCCUACUAGAGGGGAAUAACAGUGAGAAAUCAUUGCUAAUACCGCAUAUGCCAUGAACAUCACAUGAUGAAAAUGGGAAAAGAGUAAUCUGCUAGUAGAUGGGCUCGCGUCUGAUUAGAUAGUUGGUGGGGUAACGGCCUACCAAGUCAACGAUCAGUAGCCGGACUGAGAGGUUGAACGGCCACAUUGGGACUGGGAUACGGCCCAGACUCCUACGGGAGGCAGCAGUCGGGAAUAUUGCGCAAUGGAGGAAACUCUGACGCAGUGACGCCGCGUAUAGGAAGAAGGUUUUCGGAUUGUAAACUAUUGUCGUUAGGGAAGAUACAAGACAGUACCUAAGGAGGGAGCUCCGGCUAACUACGUGCCAGCAGCCGCGGUAAUACGUAGGGAGCAAGCGUUAUCCGGAUUUAUUGGGUGUAAAGGGUGCGUAGACGGGACAACAAGUUAGUUGUGAAAUGCCUCGGCUUAACUGAGGAACUGCAACUAAAACUAUUGUUCUUGAGUGUUGGAGAGGAAAGUGGAAUUCCUAGUGUAGCGGUGAAAUGCGUAGGUAUUAGGAGGAACACCGGUGGCGAAGGCGACUUUCUGGACAAUAACUGACGUUGAGGCACGAAAGUGUGGGGAGCAAACAGGAUUAGAUACCCUGGUAGUCCACACCGUAAACGAUGGAUACUAGGUGUAGGGAAUGAUUUCAUUUUCUGUGCCGUCGCAAACGCAAUAAGUAUCCCACCUGGGGAGUACGGCCGCAAGGUUGCAACUCAAAGGAAUUGACGG
This 880-nucleotide ribosomal RNA is filed under the name uncultured Bacillota bacterium. RNAcentral's name for it is "bacterial SSU rRNA". It matches the Rfam family "Bacterial small subunit ribosomal RNA", at positions 56 to 916 of the family's 1533-position model. Lineage: Bacteria; Bacillati; Bacillota. The record is from RNAcentral.